Prunus mume (Japanese apricot) is the source of this 522-nucleotide non-coding RNA. The record is from RefSeq and is a predicted model, not a curated record. NCBI's taxonomy places the organism in Eukaryota, Viridiplantae, Streptophyta, Magnoliopsida, Rosales, Rosaceae.
GCAGGAACUAUAACAAAAUGGUGCAACUACAUCUAUUCGUGGACUUUGAAAUAGAAACAAGGCUUGCCAUUGCCCUCGCUGAUGUUGUGGGACAGAGCUAGUGUAUGUGUACAGAAGUUACGGUGGUGUUCUGCUGCUUUAGAUAGAGCUGUUUGGUGGUUGUUUUUAGUUCUGUUAAUUAAGAGUGUCUUACUGCCGGACAAGAAGUCUUAUAAAGGAUGGAGUAGCACGUGCUAGCUCGCAGCUUAUAUAUAUGCCCCAAUAUGUGCUGUGUAACUGCUUUUUGGACUGCUUGAUAGCUCUUCUCAUUGUUGCUAGGCAACAGGAAGUUGGAAAGCCAAAAGAUGAAGCCAUACAUUUGUUCAAGUUCAAGCUAGGUGUGAAGAAAAUUGCUGGCGGAUUUAAUUGAAGAAUUAAUUGUGGGAUUAUUGUGAUUAUAAAGAGAAGUAAAGAGGGAGAAGAGAAGACAAAACCGUUGAAGCUAAAGAGCCUAUUUUAUGUCAUUCAUAGCCAUUUAACGCC